Molecule: ribosomal RNA, 394 nt
Filed under: uncultured bacterium
Lineage: Bacteria
Description: bacterial SSU rRNA
Rfam family: Bacterial small subunit ribosomal RNA
Source: RNAcentral
AUUGAACGCUGGCGGCAUGCCUUACACAUGCAAGUCGAACGGCAGCACGGACUUCGGUCUGGUGGCGAGUGGCGAACGGGUGAGUAAUGCAUCGGAAUGUGCCAUUGAGUGGGGGAUAACGUAGCGAAAGUUGCGCUAAUACCGCAUAUUCUGUGAGCAGGAAAGCAGGGGACCGCAAGGCCUUGCGCUCUUUGAGCGGCCGAUGUCAGAUUAGCUAGUUGGUGAGGUAAAGGCUUACCAAGGCGACGAUCUGUAGCGGGUCUGAGAGGAUGAUCCGCCACACUGGAACUGAGACACGGUCCAGACUCCUACGGGAGGCAGCAGUGGGGAAUUUUGGACAAUGGGGGCAACCCUGAUCCAGCCAUGCCGCGUGAGUGAAGAAGGCCUCGGUUGU